RNAcentral lists this ribosomal RNA (254 nucleotides) under uncultured bacterium. RNAcentral describes it as "partial 16S ribosomal RNA". It matches the Rfam family "Bacterial small subunit ribosomal RNA", at positions 524 to 776 of the family's 1533-position model. The record is from RNAcentral.
UACGGAGGGUGCAAGCGUUAUCCGGAAUCACUGGGUUUAAAGGGUGCGUAGGCGGCCCGAUAAGUCAGUCGUGAAAUCGCUGGGCUUAACCCAUGCAACUGCGAUUGAUACUGUCGGGCUUGAAUCAGGUUGAGGCAGGCGGAAUGUGACAUGUAGCGGUGAAAUGCAUAGAUAUGUCAUAGAACACCGAUUGCGAAGGCAGCUUGCUGGACCUUGAUUGACGCUGAGGCACGAAAGCGUGGGGAGCAAACAGG